CCGGGUGUAGCGCAGCUGGUAGCGCGCGUGGUUUGGGACCAUGAGGCCGCAGGUUCGAACCCUGUCACUCGGACCA
Molecule: transfer RNA, 76 nt
Filed under: Oscillospiraceae bacterium
Lineage: Bacteria; Bacillati; Bacillota; Clostridia; Eubacteriales; Oscillospiraceae
Also listed under: 1 other name
Description: tRNA-Pro
Rfam family: tRNA
About the family: Transfer RNA (tRNA) molecules are approximately 80 nucleotides in length. Their secondary structure includes four short double-helical elements and three loops (D, anti-codon, and T loops). Further hydrogen bonds mediate the characteristic L-shaped molecular structure. tRNAs have two regions of fundamental functional importance: the anti-codon, which is responsible for specific mRNA codon recognition, and the 3' end, to which the tRNAs corresponding amino acid is attached (by aminoacyl-tRNA synthetases). tRNAs cope with the degeneracy of the genetic code in two manners: having more than one tRNA (with a specific anti-codon) for a particular amino acid; and 'wobble' base-pairing, i.e. permitting non-standard base-pairing at the 3rd anti-codon position.
Source: RNAcentral